RNAcentral lists this unclassified non-coding RNA (304 nucleotides) under uncultured Nemania. Its description in RNAcentral is "sequence contains ITS1". The stretch from base 1 to 105 matches the Rfam family "5.8S ribosomal RNA", at positions 50 to 154 of the family's 154-position model. Lineage: Eukaryota; Fungi; Ascomycota; Sordariomycetes; Xylariales; Xylariaceae. The record is from RNAcentral.
GAAAUGCGAUAAGUAAUGUGAAUUGCAGAAUUCAGUGAAUCAUCGAAUCUUUGAACGCACAUUGCGCCCAUUAGUAUUCUAGUGGGCAUGCCUGUUCGAGCGUCAUUUCAACCCUUAAGCCCUUGUUGCUUAGCGUUGGGAGCCUACGGCACCGUAGCUCCCCAAAGUCAGUGGCAGAGUCGGCUCACACUCUAGACGUAGUAAUUUCUCACCUCGCCUACAGUUGGACCGGUCCCUCGCCGUAAAACGCCCCAUUUCUUAAAAGGUUGACCUCGGAUCAGGUAGGAAUACCCGCUGAACUUAA